CGCCUAACACAUGCAAGUCGCACGAGAAAGGGCUUCGGCCCCGGUAAAGUGGCGCACGGGUGAGUAACACGUGGGUAAUCUGCCCUCGAGCUGGGGAUAACAUUCCGAAAGGAGUGCUAAUACCGAAUAAGACCACGACCUCGAAAGAGGAUGCGGUCAAAGCUGGCCUCUAUACAUAAGCUAGCACUUGAGGAUGAGCCCGCGGCGCAUCAGCUAGUUGGUGAGGUAAUGGCUCACCAAGGCUAAGACGCGUAGCUGGUCUGAGAGGAUGAUCAGCCACACUGGAACUGAGACACGGUCCAGACUCCUACGGGAGGCAGCAGUGGGGAAUCUUGCGCAAUGGGCGAAAGCCUGACGCAGCGACGCCGCGUGAGUGAUGAAGGCCCUUCGGGUUGUAAAGCUCUGUGGGGGGAGAAGAAUUAGUGCAGCCUAAUACGUUGCAUGAUGACGGUAUCCCCUUAGCAAGCACCGGCUAACUCUGUGCCAGCCGCGGC
This 494-nucleotide ribosomal RNA is filed under the name uncultured bacterium. Its description in RNAcentral is "bacterial SSU rRNA". It matches the Rfam family "Bacterial small subunit ribosomal RNA", at positions 45 to 518 of the family's 1533-position model. The record is from RNAcentral.